GAUAUCCAAUAGUUCUUCCCGGCUGUAUGUAAUAACACUUAAGAUUUUCUGGGCUAACAAUGUAAGAAUUAAUACAUAAAAAAACAAAAUAGUGCAAAGUUUCCUAAGGACUAGAAGCGAGUCUUCCCUCUCUGUCGGCGCCGUCUUGAUCUCAGUUAAUGAUUUUUUUUUUAUCAAAUAUUGCACAUUUUCAGAAGAAUGCUUAUUUCUAAAUGUGUAAAGUGACAUUUGGGUUCACAGUGGGCAUAGAGAAACAAUGUGUAGGGAAUUUAAAUGAGAUCAGACUGACAAAAAAUGAAUACCCUUUUAUGAUGAUCAAAUUGUCUUUCUCACCUUCUUAAUUUCCUCUCUGAAAUUGUGACAUAAUCAGUAAAAUGUCACAGAGACCUUUAUGGUUAGUUGAUGAAAACGGGCCUCACUCAACCCCAUUCAUUCUACAUUCACAGACUGUCACAACGUUGGAAACUAGACAAAUAUAGCCUGUUUUUCUGUUAACUCUAUGUGCAGGUGGGUUUGUGCAGGCUUUAGCCCUUAACGUUACAUCCAGCAUGACCUCAUAUAUAGUGUUUUCAUGAAGGGAGAUUGAUGUUCAAAGGAAAAUUGAACACUUACUUGAUAUAGAUUUCCAAUCAGCAGUGAGGUAGAAAGAGGCCUCCCUCCUUUGUAGUGUUGAUGUGUAUGAAGUGUCAGGUUUGCAUUUCAUUUCUGACAUCAAAGAGCUGUUUUUCUCUUUUUUAAUCACCCUGUGCCCCUUUCCUGCAGUCAAAUAACCAAAAGAGCCCUCUAAUGCCCUCAUGGGUGGAAUGUUUUUGAUCUUUUUCAUAAUUAAUUUAAAAAAAAAAUCAAAAAUACACAAAAAAUCUAUUGUUUUUAUGUUAAACAAUUUUGUUAUAUUUCAGUCUUCUAUGAUGUACUGUAUGAAAGUGUAAUAUUAGAAUGCAAACUCAAAAUUGAAUACAUUUCAACUCUAUAUCUGAUGCAGUACACAUGUUUUCAUUUUUUCCCAAGACACAUAAUAUCUAAUACCUUUGUCAUCUGGAAAGGGGGGUCAGGGGGUGUCUUUGGGAGUCAAGGCUGCAAUAGCUUAGUCACCCAAACACUUUCAAACCACAUUGAAGCAAAGGUGUGGUGUAUUAUGUUGGCAACAAGAUACUGUAGAUGACAUGUGGUGCGAUGUGGUAUGAGAAUGAAAACGUAUAAUUUCUGUCAUAUUUCACUAGAGAGCAUUGAUACAAUUUCGACCAAUCCAUUGGUCGAAAUUUUAAAACAUGUAUUUUUCUAUAAAGCCACACCCUAUGUGUUUGAAUAAAAUCAACUAUAUGUACUUAGCUCAUCUGAUGCGUUAAGCGCACUGUUCGAUUAAAUAAUUAAAGCACACAAAUGGCUCAAGAGGGAGCCCGAUGGCAACGCUGUGUUAAAAAAAUGACAGCGAAUAGGCCUCUGUGACUGGCACACAUUGUCUCUCCUCCCUUCUGCAGCGAAAAGGUACCACAGCACAGCAAGUUUUGAUCGCACUGUCAGUGCUGAAGCUGCAACAUAAUUUCAGACAUUUACGGUAGUUUCUUACUUCUUCCUCUGACUGAAAAGUUCUGUUACCGGAAUCCCUAAUUUGUUGAGGAAAAACAUUCCCUAUUCCCUCAACCCUUGCUCUCUUUAUGUGAAAUGUUUGCAUCGCAUGCACGUGACCAAUACAGCCUGACCUAUAGCCUAUUAUAAUCACAUAAAUAAAUUGUGUAAAAAAAAAUAAAAACCAAACUCUGAACACCGUAACACAUGGCAGUAAAAUGGAAGUGGAGGACAUGAAAAAUAAACUUGAAACAGGUGAAUGUUUACCGGUUGCUCAGGAGGGAAAGGGGAAGUCAGAUCUGUGGAAGACAUUUUACUUAGUUGUGGAAACUACUGAAAAUCAAGAAAAAGCUACCGUUGCAUGAGUAUUAUGUGUGACAAACAGGUGCUGUUAGAUUACAAGAUAUUUUUUUGUGAACAUUUGGAACAGUGUAAACACUAAAAACAUAAGUGUACCAGAGAGUCUGUUCUAACAAGAAAAUAUAUAUAUAAAGCCUUUAUUACAGCAAAGAAAAGUAAACAACAAAACAACUUGGAAGAUGGCGAAUAAUAGCGAUGCUUCUGCGGUGGAGUCCAAAUGUAAGUAGUUUUUGUUCUUCUUAAAAUGAUCACAACUAUUUCAUCGUAACGUUACAUCUUUGAAAACAGAUUUGCAGCCUGCUGCCUGCUGUGCCUUUUAGCUAGCUACGUGCUUCAGUAGGGCUCAAGGGUGAAAGUAGAUUUAAUUUCUUCCCAGUACGGGACCUCCAAAUAAUUUUAUGGUCGUAAUCAAAGAAUUACAUAUAGAAUCUCUAUUAAUUCAAUAGGAUCUCUGUGGGCCUAGUCGUAAAGAUGUGUGAUUUAACUUUUAAAAUGUGUUACCUUUUAUUGUGGCAUAAACACAACCAGUCAUGAUUUUUUCAUCUGAUUGUCAAACAACUACUCAAACAGUGGUGAAUGGAAAGAGACAUCUCCACAAAACACCAACAAGUGUAAUGACAUUUGGCGAUUUUCAUUAGGCCAGAAUUUAUGUCCACUGCUGUAUGCAGUGUCGGGCACUUAUCUCUGCCUUGGCAAAAUGUAGGUGUUAUUGUCGAACCACAUCGUAUUUUGGAGCAUUUUCAAGUCCAUUCUGCCAUAAUGGUGUAAUAGCCUAGAGUUUUCUUGACCUUCUGCUGUAAUUAUUGUGAUGGGCUCAUGUUUUACCAGUACGGCGUACCUCCAACUAUUUAUUUUGCCGGGAUUCCGUACCGGACCGCCUUACUUUCACCCUUGGUCGGACUAGAAGUUAACUGUUCGAACAGUAAUGUUAGCUACAGGGUUAACGGUAACGUUACUUGCUGUUGAGCGACAACUCAAUUUUUAACAUUAGCCUAGCUUGCUAGCUAGCUACUUGUUGUAAAUACCAUUGCUUGUGUUCAAAACUAUGCACUGGAUAUAGUGUUAGUAACGCGGUAGCCUAUAUUCCUAUUUUCCACAGCGGUGCUGGUCCCAACACUUCUCUUUUCUUCUAGAUCUCCUGAUUUGUCACUUCAUUUUAUCUGUGAUGAGCUGAUUGUAAUGUCCAUGCUGAACGGUUACAGUCUGAAUGGGUCUUGAUAUUUUCAUUGCAGAUAACCUGUUAUGGUGAAAGUAACGGAUCUAUGGUAAGGAGUGUGAGCUGGAGGGGCAGCUGUCACCUGUAUGGGUGAAAAAGAACAAUUAAAAGCUCUCCCCACCGGAGUCAGCACGGAGGGACUGGAGGCCGUAGACGCAUCCUGGAAGUGGUAUGCGGUGAUGGAUGAGGUGCUAGCAGGCUGCCACUUCAUCGCCCCAUCGGUCAUCAUCUCCUCAUCCUCCCAAGGUGCAGCUAUGGGCACCCCUCCUUCCCAGAAUGGCCCAAAUGUGGGCAGGAGCGGGAGAAGGAGGUGACUGCCAGGGAGGCAUGCCUUAUGGCCAUUUUAGAGGCCAUGAUUAAGAAGUAGUUUUACGUAUUUUGUACGUACAGUAUUGUAUUUCUUUUUUUAAACCCAAAGUGGAUUUUUCUUUUUUUUAAAGUGUUUUCUUGUUUGUAAUAAAAAAGAAAAAGUGAUACCGGUA
Non-coding RNA from Salmo salar (Atlantic salmon), 3624 nucleotides. NCBI's taxonomy places the organism in Eukaryota, Metazoa, Chordata, Actinopteri, Salmoniformes, Salmonidae. The record is from RefSeq and is a predicted model, not a curated record.